This 467-nucleotide ribosomal RNA is filed under the name uncultured bacterium. RNAcentral's name for it is "partial 16S ribosomal RNA". It matches the Rfam family "Bacterial small subunit ribosomal RNA", at positions 28 to 507 of the family's 1533-position model. The record is from RNAcentral.
GACGAACGCUGGCGGCGUGCUUAACACAUGCAAGUCGAACGGAAAGGCCUCUUUCGGGGGGUACUCGAGUGGCGAACGGGUGAGUAACACGUGAGUAACCUGCCCUUGACUUUGGGAUAACUUCAGGAAACUGGGGCUAAUACCGGAUAGGAGCUCCUGCUGCAUGGUGGGGGUUGGAAAGUUUCGGCGGUUGGGGAUGGACUCGCGGCUUAUCAGCUUGUUGGUGGGGUAGUGGCUUACCAAGGCUUUGACGGGUAGCCGGCCUGAGGGGGUGACCGGCCACAUUGGGACUGAGAUACGGCCCAGACUCCUACGGGAGGCAGCAGUCGGGAAUAUUGCACAAUGGGUGGAAGCCUGAUGCAGCAACGCCGUGUGCGGGAUGACGGCCUUCGGGUUGUAAACCGCUUUCGCUCAUGACGAAGCUUUGUGUGACGGUAGUGGGUAAAGAAGCACCGGCUAACUACGUG